Molecule: ribosomal RNA, 482 nt
Filed under: uncultured bacterium
Lineage: Bacteria
Description: bacterial SSU rRNA
Rfam family: Bacterial small subunit ribosomal RNA
Source: RNAcentral
GCAGAACGCGAAGAACCUUACCCACACUUGACAUGCCUCUUUUGGCUUUCAGAGAUGAUUGCCUUCGGUUCGGCCGGGGAGUGCACAGGUGCUGCAUGGCUGUCGUCGGCUCGUGUCGUGAGAUGUUGGGUUAAGUCCCGCAACGAGCGCAACCCUUAUCGUAUGUUGCCAGCAUUUAGUUGGGCACUCGUGCGAGACUGCCGGUGAUAAGCCGGAGGAAGGCGGGGACGACGUCAAGUCAUCAUGGCCCUUACGUGUGGGGCUAGAAAUGUGCUACAAUGGGAGUGACAGUGAGCAGCAAGGUCGCGAGGCCAAGCUAAUCUCCAAAAGCUCUCUCAGUUCAGAUUGUAGUCUGCAACUCGACUACAUGAAGUUGGAAUCGCUAGUAAUCGCAAAUCAGCAUGUUGCGGUGAAUACGUUCCCGGGUCUUGUACACACCGGAGGUCGGUGGGGGAGGGCAAGGGGCACACAGGGGGGGGAUA